RNAcentral lists this ribosomal RNA (812 nucleotides) under Escherichia coli. RNAcentral's name for it is "bacterial SSU rRNA". It matches the Rfam family "Bacterial small subunit ribosomal RNA", at positions 71 to 867 of the family's 1533-position model. The record is from RNAcentral. Lineage: Bacteria; Pseudomonadati; Pseudomonadota; Gammaproteobacteria; Enterobacterales; Enterobacteriaceae.
GAAGGGAGCUUGCUCCCGGAUGUUAGCGGCGGACGGGUGAGUAACACGUGGGUAACCUGCCUGUAAGACUGGGAUAACUCCGGGAAACCGGAGCUAAUACCGGAUAGUUCCUUGAACCGCAUGGUUCAAGGAUGAAAGACGGUUUCGGCUGUCACUUACAGAUGGACCCGCGGCGCAUUAGCUAGUUGGUGGGGUAAUGGCUCACCAAGGCGACGAUGCGUAGCCGACCUGAGAGGGUGAUCGGCCACACUGGGACUGAGACACGGCCCAGACUCCUACGGGAGGCAGCAGUAGGGAAUCUUCCGCAAUGGACGAAAGUCUGACGGAGCAACGCCGCGUGAGUGAUGAAGGUUUUCGGAUCGUAAAGCUCUGUUGUUAGGGAAGAACAAGUGCGAGAGUAACUGCUCGCACCUUGACGGUACCUAACCAGAAAGCCACGGCUAACUACGUGCCAGCAGCCGCGGUAAUACGUAGGUGGCAAGCGUUGUCCGGAAUUAUUGGGCGUAAAGGGCUCGCAGGCGGUUUCUUAAGUCUGAUGUGAAAGCCCCCGGCUCAACCGGGGAGGGUCAUUGGAAACUGGGAAACUUGAGUGCAGAAGAGGAGAGUGGAAUUCCACGUGUAGCGGUGAAAUGCGUAGAGAUGUGGAGGAACACCAGUGGCGAAGGCGACUCUCUGGUCUGUAACUGACGCUGAGGAGCGAAAGCGUGGGGAGCGAACAGGAUUAGAUACCCUGGUAGUCCACGCCGUAAACGAUGAGUGCUAAGUGUUAGGGGGUUUCCGCCCCUUAGUGCUGCAGCUAACGCAUUAAGCAC